This 482-nucleotide ribosomal RNA is filed under the name uncultured bacterium. RNAcentral's name for it is "partial 16S ribosomal RNA". It matches the Rfam family "Bacterial small subunit ribosomal RNA", at positions 30 to 507 of the family's 1533-position model. The record is from RNAcentral.
AUUGAACGCUGGCGGCAUGCUUUACACAUGCCAGUCGAACGGUAACAGGCCGCAAGGUGCUGACGAGUGGCGAACGGGUGAGUAAUGCAUCGGAACGUGCCCAGUCGUGGGGGAUAACUACUCGAAAGAGUAGCUAAUACCGCAUACGAUCUAUGGAUGAAAGCGGGGGACCGUAAGGCCUCGCGCGAUUGGAGCGGCCGAUGUCAGAUUAGGUAGUUGGUGGGGUAAAGGCUCACCAAGCCAACGAUCUGUAGCUGGUCUGAGAGGACGACCAGCCACACUGGGACUGAGACACGGCCCAGACUCCUACGGGAGGCAGCAGUGGGGAAUUUUGGACAAUGGGCGCAAGCCUGAUCCAGCAAUGCCGCGUGCAGGAAGAAGGCCUUCGGGUUGUAAACCGCUUUUGUACGGAACGAAACGGCUCUGGUUAAUACCCGGGGCUAAUGACGGUACCGUAAGAAUAAGCACCGGCUAACUACGUG